GCCAGGCAUGGUGGCGUGUGCCUGUAAUCCUAGCUACUCAGGAGGCUGAGGCAGGAGAAUAGCUUGAACCCGGGAGGUGGAGGUUGCAGUGAGCUGAGACUGGGCCACUGCACUCCAGCCUGGGUGACAGAGUGAGACUUUGUCUCAA
Unclassified non-coding RNA from Macaca mulatta (Rhesus monkey), 148 nucleotides. It matches the Rfam family "Metazoan signal recognition particle RNA". From Rfam's summary of the family: The signal recognition particle (SRP) is a universally conserved ribonucleoprotein. It is involved in the co-translational targeting of proteins to membranes. The eukaryotic SRP consists of a 300-nucleotide 7S RNA and six proteins: SRPs 72, 68, 54, 19, 14, and 9. NCBI's taxonomy places the organism in Eukaryota, Metazoa, Chordata, Mammalia, Primates, Cercopithecidae. The record is from Ensembl.